CAGUCGCCGCGGGAAUACGUAGGGGGCAAGCGUUGUCCGGAAUCAUUGGGCGUAAAGCGCGUGUAGGCGGCUCGAUAAGUCUGCUGUGAAAGUCCAGGGCUCAACCCUGGAAUGCCGGUGGAAACUGUCGAGCUCGAGUCCGGAAGAGGCAAGUGGAAUUCCUGGUGUAGCGGUGAAAUGCGCAGAUAUCAGGAGGAACACCAAUGGCGAAGGCAGCUUGCUGGGACGGUACUGACGCUGAGACGCGAAAGCGUGGGGAGCAAACAGGAUUAGAUACCCCAGUAGUCCCUGUCUCUUAUAC
Molecule: ribosomal RNA, 301 nt
Filed under: uncultured bacterium
Lineage: Bacteria
Description: partial 16S ribosomal RNA
Rfam family: Bacterial small subunit ribosomal RNA
Source: RNAcentral